CCUACGGGAGGCAGCAGUGAGGAAUAUUGGUCAAUGGGCGAGAGCCUGAACCAGCCAAGUCGCGUGAGGGAGUACUGCCCUAUGGGUUGUAAACCUCUUUUGUCGGGGAGCAAAAGCCGGACGUGUCCGGCUGUGAGAGUACCCGAAGAAAAAGCAUCGGCUAACUCCGUGCCAGCAGCCGCGGUAAUACGGAGGAUGCGAGCGUUAUCCGGAUUUAUUGGGGUUAAGGGGUGCGCAGGCGGAUUUUUAAGUCAGCGGUCAAAUCGUGGGGCUCAACCCCAUCCAGCCGUUGAAACUGGGGAUCUAGAGUGUGCGAGAGGUAUGCGGAAUGCGUGGUGUAGCGGUGAAAUGCAUAGAUAUCACGCAGAACCUCGAUUGCGAAGGCAGCAUACCGGUGCACAACUGACGCUCAGGCACGAAAGCGUGGGUAUCGAACAGGAUUAGAUACCCCAGUAGUC
Molecule: ribosomal RNA, 458 nt
Filed under: uncultured bacterium
Lineage: Bacteria
Description: partial 16S ribosomal RNA
Rfam family: Bacterial small subunit ribosomal RNA
Source: RNAcentral